UGGGGAAUUUUCCGCAAUGGGCGAAAGCCUGACGGAGCAAUACCGCGUGAGGGAGGAAGGCUCUUGGGUCGUAAACCUCUUUUGUCAGGGAAGAAGUUCUGACGGUACCUGACGAAUCAGCAUCGGCUAACUCCGUGCCAGCAGCCGCGGUAAUACGGAGGAUGCAAGCGUUAUCCGGAAUUAUUGGGCGUAAAGCGUCCGCAGGUGGCGUAUCAAGUCUGCUGUUAAAGACCGGGGCUAAACUCCGGAAAGGCAGUGGAAACUGAAACGCUAGAGUGCAGGAGGGGUAGAGGGAAUUCCCGGUGUAGCGGUGAAAUGCGUAGAUAUCGGGAAGAACAUCGGUGGCGAAAGCGCUCUACUGGACUGCAACUGACACUCAGGGACGAAAGCUAGGGGAGCGAAUGGGAUUAGAUACCCCAGUAGUC
Molecule: ribosomal RNA, 425 nt
Filed under: cf. Symploca sp. PNG 07/18/07-3
Lineage: Bacteria; Bacillati; Cyanobacteriota; Cyanophyceae; Coleofasciculales; Coleofasciculaceae
Description: bacterial SSU rRNA
Rfam family: Bacterial small subunit ribosomal RNA
Source: RNAcentral